This 385-nucleotide ribosomal RNA is filed under the name uncultured bacterium. Its description in RNAcentral is "bacterial SSU rRNA". It matches the Rfam family "Bacterial small subunit ribosomal RNA", at positions 28 to 412 of the family's 1533-position model. The record is from RNAcentral.
GACGAACGCUGGCGGCGUGCUUAACACAUGCAAGUCGAGCGGUAAGGCCCUUUCGGGGGUACGACGAGCGGCGAACGGGUGAGUAACACGUGGGUGACCUGCCCUCAGCUCUGGGAUAAGCCUGGGAAACCGGGUCUAAUACUGGAUAUGACUCCAUGACGCAUGUUGUGGGGUGGAAGGCCUUGUGCGGCUGAGGAUGGGGCCCGCGGCCUAUCAGCUUGUUGGUGGGGUGANGGCCUACCAAGGCGACGACGGGUAGCCGGCCUGAGAGGGCGACCGGCCACACUGGGACUGAGGCACGGCCCAGACUCCUACGGGAGGCAGCAGUGGGGAAUCUUGCGCAAUGGGCGAAAGCCUGACGCAGCGACGCCGCGUGAGGGAUGAC